ACAACCGAUUAACUCUUUUACAAAAUAUCGAAAUUUUUAACUGCCACUUUCUGCACUCUGGUGGAAUUUUCAAGCCAGAAUAUAUUUUUAUAUUUGAUUGCUAAAUCCUUUGGCUGCUCGGCUUAUCUUGAAUUUAUGUAUUUUGCCUCGUAAAAAGUCUCUAAAAGUGGAUGCAUGUAGAUUUAAAUUUUCGCUCGCAAGUGAAAUGUUGCAUUUACUUAUGGUCUUAAAUAUUAUACUGGUCCGCUUCGGAGUGGAACCAAAACAAGAUUCUGGAGACUCUGAUUUUGGAGGCAAUCUUAUAUCACAGUUAGGAAAUGAUGAAAAUUUGGAUCUCUCUCACGACGAGGAGUACGAAGAUUUGAGGGCAGAAUUUCUUGCCUACCACACUGCCUUAGCGUCGAUUGCUUCUGAUGGUCGAAGGUCGAUGCUAACUACACCUUGCUGGAAACUUGGUGGGAUUUGUAUCAACCACAACCUUUGCACUGGAUUCAGGUUUCUCACAGAGGUCCCCGGAUGCAAGGAUAAGUUAAAGGUUUGCUGCUUCGUGUGGAAUAAAUUCAAUGUAAGGGAUCAUAGAGACGAGGGGAUCGGCUCGCUGGCUAUGCCUUGGACGUUGCAGAAGGAGUUUGGUGGAGAAGGCGUCGUUGUGGUUGACAAAAAAGCUAAAUCGAAAAAAAAUAAAAAGAAAACUCUGCGAUCAGCUUUGAGAUCCACUCGUAAUCGUAAUGACAAUGACUUCAAGAGAAUCGCUUUUAUAAUAACGGUAUAAGGACAAAUAAAUAAAAUGUUAAGACUGA
Long non-coding RNA from Ostrinia nubilalis (European corn borer), 800 nucleotides. RefSeq lists it as uncharacterized. The record is from RefSeq and is a predicted model, not a curated record. The transcript has 2 exons. Lineage: Eukaryota; Metazoa; Arthropoda; Insecta; Lepidoptera; Crambidae.